Molecule: long non-coding RNA, 303 nt
Filed under: Homo sapiens (human)
Lineage: Eukaryota; Metazoa; Chordata; Mammalia; Primates; Hominidae
Description: HSALNT0096786
Source: RNAcentral
GAAAAUCUCUGAAGCAGACACCCAAAUCAGAGCCGAGCUUUGCCGUGACUCUCCAGAAGCUGAUGGGCCUGGUGUUUGAACUGAGCCUGUCAACAUGUGGAAAACACAGAGGUGAGAAAACAGAAUCUUAAAAUUAAGUUGUUGCAUAAGCAACUUUACCCUUGUCAUAGCAAGUCAGAGCAAAAGGCAACACUGAUGCAGUUCAAAAAAGUCACGGGACAAACACUUCCUUUGUAAUCAUAGAGAAAAAAAUUGUUCAUAUAGAAGCUUUUUAAAGCUCUCUUCCCAGGAUGUAGAUCUUGU